CUGAGCUUGGAACAGCGCGGGGCGGCUGGGAUGGUGAAAUGGUGGAAUGGUGAUGGAAUCCUGCAGUGGUUCGGGUUGCAAGGGACCUUAAAGCUCAUGCAGCCCCACUGCCUGAGCAGGGACACCUUCCCCUAGCCCAGGGAAAAAGGCUGGAGCAAGAGGUUCCAAAAAGAACGGGGCUUUCUGCACGACGAAACCCGGGAGUGCCCGAUCCUGCCUGGAAGGAGGGGGGGGUGAACGGGCGGUGGGCGCCGCCAUGAAAGGAGCCGAGGGGCAGGGACUUGUCCGUACAAGGAGUGUCGGGGCGUGCCCAUGGCCAUAAAAGGACAGGACAAAGCAUUGAACUGGGAGAAGUUCUGCCAAAUCUUUGGGGUGUGUGCAGCCACAGGGAAGAGGCUCCAGCCUUGAUGCCCCAGAGAGCAUCAGUGAAAGCAGCACUAUUGCCCUGGCGUGUGCCCACUGCCAAUUGUUCACCCAACACAAUUCCAAA
This is a long non-coding RNA of Myiozetetes cayanensis, 490 nucleotides long. RefSeq lists it as uncharacterized. NCBI's taxonomy places the organism in Eukaryota, Metazoa, Chordata, Aves, Passeriformes, Tyrannidae. The transcript is spliced from 3 exons. The record is from RefSeq and is a predicted model, not a curated record.